This 497-nucleotide ribosomal RNA is filed under the name uncultured bacterium. RNAcentral's name for it is "partial 16S ribosomal RNA". It matches the Rfam family "Bacterial small subunit ribosomal RNA", at positions 28 to 507 of the family's 1533-position model. The record is from RNAcentral.
GAUGAACGCUGGCGGCGUGCCUAAUACAUGCAAGUCGAGCGAACGGACGAGAAGCUUGCUUCUCUGAUGUUAGCGGCGGACGGGUGAGUAACACGUGGAUAACCUACCUAUAAGACUGGGAUAACUUCGGGAAACCGGAGCUAAUACCGGAUGAUAUUUUGAACCGCAUGGUUCAAAAGUGAAAGACGGUCUUGCUGUCACUUAUAGAUGGAUCCGCGCUGCAUUAGCUAGUUGGUAAGGUAACGGCUUACCAAGGCAACGAUGCAUAGCCGACCUGAGAGGGUGAUCGGCCACACUGGAACUGAGACACGGUCCAGACUCCUACGGGAGGCAGCAGUAGGGAAUCUUCCGCAAUGGGCGAAAGCCUGACGGAGCAACGCCGCGUGAGUGAUGAAGGUCUUCGGAUCGUAAAACCCUGUUAUUAGGGAAGAACAUAUGUGUAAGUAACUGUGCACAUCUUGACGGUACAUAAUCAGAAAGCCACGGCUAACUACGUG